CCGAAAGGCGUAGUCGAUGGGAAUGCAGUUAAUAUUCUGCAGCCUGGUGGUAGUGACGGAUCUCGUAAAUUGUACAUCCUUAUUGGAUUGGGUGUGCAGUGAAGAGGUUCCAGGAAAUAGCUCCACCGUAUAGACCGUACCCCAAACCGACACAGGUGGUCAGGUAGAGAAUACCAAGGCGCUUGAGAGAACUCGGGUGAAGGAACUAGGCAAAAUGGUACCGUAACUUCGGGAGAAGGUACGCCCCUGUCUGUGAACACUUUACGUGGUAAGCAAAUGGAGGCCGCAGUGACCAGGUGGCUGGGACUGUUUAUUAAAAACACAGCACUCUGCAAACUCGUAAGAGGACGUAUAGGGUGUGACACCUGCCCGGUGCCGGAAGGUUAAUUGAUGGGGUUAGCGUAA
RNAcentral lists this ribosomal RNA (405 nucleotides) under Striatella unipunctata. RNAcentral's name for it is "partial Bacterial large subunit ribosomal RNA". It matches the Rfam family "Bacterial large subunit ribosomal RNA", at positions 1402 to 1898 of the family's 2925-position model. The record is from RNAcentral. Lineage: Eukaryota; Bacillariophyta; Striatellaphyceae; Striatellales; Striatellaceae.